UUCCAUCUUGUAGCAGGUACUUCAAAAUAUAUUUAAUCUGAUGUGCAACAAUUGCUGUGUAUUGUAUGUUAUUCUUCUGAUUGAAUGACAUCAUCGACUAAGCACAAAGUAAUAUGUGAUGGUGUGAAAAAUGACCUGUGUGAAACUUGACAUGUCUUUCUAAGUAUCUUCCAUGGAGGUUGUUUGGAGUACACAUGCAUGCACGUCUUUGCCUUUAAAAUAUUGUAUACAUGACUUUCACAUUUACAGUAGUUUUGACUGCAGUAAAUAACCACUUUAAUUUUUUUCCCCACCCUCACUUAAUAGCAUUUAUGGGAAUCUGCCAGGUGCUUCAAUUGUAUUCAGCUGCAAAUUUGUGUUGGCAUUUCAAGCUUCAUUUUUUUUUUUAUGGAAACUUUUUUCUUGGGUACACUAUAAGUUGCAUGCAAUGUGUGUUUGUUUUCCCCUACAUAAUGCCUCACCAUAGUUUUUAUACCACAAUGCCUUGUUAACAUUCUCCAUUAUUUACCACAAAUAAACAUUUACUUUUUUGUUUAAAUUGUCUGAACAGUAACUUGUACAUAAGUGUGUCUUGUGUAGUGUAGUGCCUCAUCUUUGCCUUUUGAGCUUUUUGACGAAAAGGACUUUGUGCACUUUAUUAUGAUGGUCGAUGUUCUCAAAUCAUAAAUUAUAUUUAAGUUCAGUGACUCAGGUGAUAAAAAAAACCUUAGUUUCAGCACAACUCCAUAAGUAGCUUUCAUGUAAGAAAACCCGUCUUCUCAGUCUUUAACAAAACCGUUGUGACACAAACUUAAAGGUGUACCACACAUACAUGUACUUGAUGAUAUGGAGACAUCAACAUAAAUAAACCUUCCAG
Molecule: long non-coding RNA, 856 nt
Organism: Thalassophryne amazonica
Lineage: Eukaryota; Metazoa; Chordata; Actinopteri; Batrachoidiformes; Batrachoididae
Exons: 2
Source: RefSeq, a predicted model, not a curated record